CAUUUGUUUCGUUACCAACAUUUUAUUUUUGUUAAUAAAUUCCGGGUCGAUCUUUGGGACAUAUUUGUCAUGUGAUUUAUAUAAUGUGUCUAUAUUCUCAGUAAGACCACAAAAAGGAGGUGCAUGAUAAUCAUUUAACUCUGAAAUUAAAGGUGCAGUAUCACCAAGUAAAACAAGUCUCUAAAUUCAUAAAUAGAGGCUAAAAACAGAAAUACAACAGAUGUAACAUGUCUACAAAGUGUGCACUUAAAUUAGCACUUUAUCUCACUUUACAGAAUAAACAUAAACCUGUUUAAAAUCCUCCUUUACA
Long non-coding RNA from Labrus mixtus (cuckoo wrasse), 310 nucleotides. RefSeq lists it as uncharacterized. Lineage: Eukaryota; Metazoa; Chordata; Actinopteri; Labriformes; Labridae. The record is from RefSeq and is a predicted model, not a curated record. The transcript is spliced from 2 exons.